AUGGAAACCUGUUCAAAGCCAAGAGCAAGGGUUCGACGUUUUGGACAAUGUAGCCAAAUGGAAUGGUCCCUCGGCUCGUGUAUCGUGUGUGGGAAUCACGAGGACGCAAACCAUGUCUUUUUUCAAUGUGCGUUAGCUAGGUUUGCGUGGAGUGCGGUGAGGGAAGCUUUCCAGCAAAAUUGGAGCCCCGCGUCGUGCUCUGACUUGCUCCAGAUAGUGCAAACCCAGAAGGGAACUAGUGGGCGGAUUGUUUGGAGAUGCGUAGGGGCGCUUCUGUGGGCUCUACGGACUAUUAGAAACAAAAUGACUAUUGAAAAAAAGUUCCCUUCCCACCCCGCUGAUGUUAUAUUUAAAUGCCAUCUCUUCUUACAGAUGUUGACACCGUUGGGGAAGCAGCGCGAUGCUGAGCAGAUGUCGGAGGCCAUGGAGAAGAUUAGAAGCACUUUGACGACGGCGCGUCACCCUCCGUAG
This 471-nucleotide ribosomal RNA is filed under the name Triticum aestivum (bread wheat). RNAcentral describes it as "partial small subunit ribosomal RNA". The record is from RNAcentral. Lineage: Eukaryota; Viridiplantae; Streptophyta; Magnoliopsida; Poales; Poaceae.